AGAGUUUGAUCAUGGCUCAGAACGUACGCUGGCGGCACGCCUAACACAUGCAAGUCGAACGAAGUAGCAAUACUUAGUGGCAGACGGGUGAGUAACAUGUGGGUAUCUACCCUUUGGCCUGGAAUAACACGAGGAAACUUGUGCUAAUACUGGAUAAGUCUUUACCGAGAAAGCUUUAUGCACCAUUGGAUGAGCCUGCACUUGAUUAGUUUGUUGGUGGGGUAAUGGCCUACCAAGACUGUGAUCAAUAGCUGAUUUGAGAGGAUGAUCAGCCACAUUGGGACUGAGACACGGCCCAAACUCCUACGGGAGGCAGCAGUGGGGAAUCUUGCACAAUGGAGGAAACUCUGAUGCAGCGAUGCCGCGUGAGUGAAGAAGGCCCUUGGGUUGUAAAGCUCUUUCGUCGGGGAAGAAAAUGACUGUACCCGAAUAAGAAGGUCCGGCUAACUUCGUGCCAGCAGCCGCGGUAAUACGAAGGGACCUAGCGUAGUUCGGAAUUACUGGGCUUAAAGAGUUCGUAGGUGGUUGAAAAAGUUGGUGGUGAAAUCCCAGAGCUUAACUCUGGAACUGCCAUCAAAACUUUUCAGCUAGAGUAUGAUAGAGGAUAGCAGAAUUUCUAGUGUAGAGGUGAAAUUCGUAGAUAUUAGAAAGAAUACCAAUUGCGAAGGCAGCUUUCUGGAUCAUUACUGACACUGAGGAACGAAAGCAUGGGUAGCGAAGAGGAUUAGAUACCCUCGUAGUCCAUGCCGUAAACGAUGUGUGUUAGACGUUGGGAAUUUAUUUUCAGUGUCGCAGCGAAAGCGAUAAACACACCGCCUGGGGAGUACGACCGCAAGGUUAAAACUCAAAUGAAUUGACGGGGACCCGCACAAGUAGUGGAGCAUGUGG
Molecule: ribosomal RNA, 888 nt
Filed under: uncultured bacterium
Lineage: Bacteria
Description: bacterial SSU rRNA
Rfam family: Bacterial small subunit ribosomal RNA
Source: RNAcentral